RNAcentral lists this ribosomal RNA (492 nucleotides) under uncultured bacterium. RNAcentral's name for it is "partial 16S ribosomal RNA". It matches the Rfam family "Bacterial small subunit ribosomal RNA", at positions 29 to 507 of the family's 1533-position model. The record is from RNAcentral.
AGUGAACGCUGGCGGUAGGCCUAACACAUGCAAGUCGAACGGCAGCACAGUAAGAGCUUGCUCUUACGGGUGGCGAGUGGCGGACGGGUGAGGAAUACAUCGGAAUCUACUUUUUCGUGGGGGAUAACGUAGGGAAACUUACGCUAAUACCGCAUACGACCUACGGGUGAAAGCAGGGGAUCUUCGGACCUUGCGCGAUUGAAUGAGCCGAUGUCGGAUUAGCUAGUUGGCGGGGUAAGGGCCCACCAAGGCGACGAUCCGUAGCUGGUCUGAGAGGAUGAUCAGCCACACUGGAACUGAGACACGGUCCAGACUCCUACGGGAGGCAGCAGUGGGGAAUAUUGGACAAUGGGCGCAAGCCUGAUCCAGCCAUACCGCGUGGGUGAAGAAGGCCUUCGGGUUGUAAAGCCCUUUUGUUGGGAAAGAAAAGCAGCAGGUUAAUACCCCGCUGUUCUGACGGUACCCAAAGAAUAAGCACCGGCUAACUUUGUG